RNAcentral lists this ribosomal RNA (831 nucleotides) under uncultured marine microorganism. Its description in RNAcentral is "bacterial SSU rRNA". It matches the Rfam family "Bacterial small subunit ribosomal RNA", at positions 8 to 883 of the family's 1533-position model. The record is from RNAcentral.
AGAGUUUGAUCAUGGCUCAGGAUGAACGCUGGCGGUAUGCCUAACACAUGCAAGUCGAACGAUGUCUUCGGACAUAGUGGCGGACGGGUGAGUAACGCGUGAGAAUCUGCCUCUAGGAUGGGGAUAACGGUUGGAAACGACCGCUAACACCCAAUAUGCCGUAAGGUGAAAAAUUUAUUGCCUGGAGAGGAGCUCGCGUCUGAUUAGCUAGUUGGUGGGGUAAGAGCUCACCAAGGCUUCGAUCAGUAGCUGGUCUGAGAGGAUGAGCAGCCACACUGGGACUGAGACACGGCCCAGACUCCUACGGGAGGCAGCAGUGGGGAAUUUUCCGCAAUGGGCGAAAGCCUGACGGAGCAAUACCGCGUGAGGGAGGAAUGCCUUUGGGUUGUAAACCUCUUUUCUCAGGGAAGAAGAUCUGACGGUACCUGAGGAAUAAGUAUCGGCUAACUCCGUGCCAGCAGCCGCGGUAAUACGGAGGAUGCAAGCGUUAUCCGGAAUCAUUGGGCGUAAAGCGUCCGCAGGUGGUUUCCAAAGUCUGCUGUUAAAGACUGGAGCUCAACUCCGGAACGGCGGUGGAAACUUGGAAACUAGAGUUCGGUAGGGGUAGCAGGAAUUCCCAGUGUAGCGGUGAAAUGCGUAGAUAUUGGGAAGAACAUCGGUGGCGAANGCGUGCUACUGGACCGUAACUGACACUCAGGGACGAAAGCUAGGGGAGCGAAAGGGAUUAGAUACCCCUGUAGUCCUAGCUGUAAACGAUGGAAACUANGUGUGGCUUGUAUCGACCCGAGCCGUGCCGUANCUAACGCGUUAAGUUUCCCGCCUGGGGAGUAC